GGAGUUUUCGGCAAUGGGGGAAACCCUGACCGAGCAACGCCGCGUGAGCGAUGACGGCCCUAUGGGUUGUAAAGCUCUGUUGUAAGGGACGAAUGGUGGGGUCAGGAAAUGGGCUCCAUUUGACGGUACCUUACCAGAAAGCCACGGCUAACUACGUGCCAGCAGCCGCGGUAAUACGUAGGUGGCAAGCGUUAUCCGGAAUUAUUGGGCGUAAAGAGUGAGCAGGCGGCAGUUUAAGUCUGAGGUUAAAGCGUGGGGCUCAACCCCAUACAGCCUUGGAAACUGAACAGCUAGAGUACGAGAGAAGUAAGCGGAAUUCCAUGUGUAGCGGUGAAAUGCGUAGAUAUAUGGAGGAACACCAGUGGCGAAGGCGGCUUACUAGCUCGAAACUGACGCUCAGUCACGAAAGCGUGGGUAGCAAAUA
RNAcentral lists this ribosomal RNA (424 nucleotides) under uncultured bacterium. Its description in RNAcentral is "bacterial SSU rRNA". It matches the Rfam family "Bacterial small subunit ribosomal RNA", at positions 358 to 774 of the family's 1533-position model. The record is from RNAcentral.